AGAGUUUGAUCCUGGCUCAGAGCGAACGCUGGCGGCGUACUUAACACAUGCAAGUCGAACGAGGAUCAUCCGUGUAGCAAUACAUUGGUGGUCCUAGUGGCGCACGGGUGAGUAACACGUGGGUGACCUGCCCUAGAGCUCGGGAUACCCCCUCGAAAGGGGGGCUAAUACCGGAUACGUUCCUUGGUCGAAAGAUCGGGGAGGAAAGGUGGCGCAAGCUGCCGCUCUUGGAGGGGCUCGCGGCCUAUCAGCUAGUUGGCGGGGUAACGGCCCACCAAGGCUAUGACGGGUAGCUGGUCUGAGAGGACGACCAGCCACACGGGGACUGAGACACGGCCCCGACUCCUACGGGAGGCAGCAGUGGGGAAUUUUCCGCAAUGGGCGAAAGCCUGACGAAGUGACGCCGCGUGUGGGACGAAGGCCUUCGGGUCGUAAACCACUGUCAGUGGGAAAGAUGGGUGUCGGGGCUAAUACCUCCGGCAUCUGACGGUACCUGCAGAGGAAGCCCCGGCCAACUCUGUGCCAGCCGCCGCGGUAAUAC
RNAcentral lists this ribosomal RNA (541 nucleotides) under uncultured bacterium. RNAcentral describes it as "bacterial SSU rRNA". It matches the Rfam family "Bacterial small subunit ribosomal RNA", at positions 8 to 526 of the family's 1533-position model. The record is from RNAcentral.